UAAGGUAGCAUAAUCACUUGUCUACUAAUUGUAGUCUAGAAUGAAGGGGUAAACGAAUAUGAACCUGUCUCAGAGUAGCCACUAAAAAUUAACACCUAAAUGAAAAGGUUUAGAUCCUAAAGAAGGACAAGAAGACCCUAUAGAUCUUUAUUUGUAGUCGACCCAAAAAAUCACUUACAAAAUUUUGGAUGGGGCGUCCCGAGUCUUAAAACAUAUACAACUCUCCACACCACGAGCCACAACUCCCUCCAUUUAACCUCAGAAAUACUGAAUUAUGAAAACUAAAGUUACCUUAGGGAUAACAGGCUAAUUCUUCUCCAGAGUUCAUAUUUACAGAAGAGCUUGGCAC
RNAcentral lists this ribosomal RNA (349 nucleotides) under Heterodrilus cf. virilis PDW-2015. RNAcentral's name for it is "partial 16S ribosomal RNA". It matches the Rfam family "Bacterial large subunit ribosomal RNA", at positions 1952 to 2524 of the family's 2925-position model. The record is from RNAcentral. Lineage: Eukaryota; Metazoa; Annelida; Clitellata; Tubificida; Naididae.